ACCAUAAUAAAUACUUUCUUUCUGUCCCAAACAGUCACUGUGUGUGUUGCUGAGCUGAAGUUGGAGGCAACUGAUGGUGAUAAUGUUACUAUACCCUUCAAAACUGCUGAACUGGAGAGAGCCGACCGAGUGAGGAUAACUUUUACAAGAGACAAUCAGAAAAAGUUGAUUGCGCAGUACUGUCGCUGUGCUGAUUGUGGAGACUGUAUUGUUGUGGAAACACCGGGAGUCUUACUGCGAAUUGAAGAAGGAACUGCGUCCUUGAUUCUUCAAGAUGUCAGCUCCAGAAGCUCAGGCCUUUAUAAAGCACAAGUCUUCAAUGGAAAGCAUGUGUCUGAGAUACAAGCUACACUUGUUGUCAAAGAACCAGCAUUGUCCUCCACCAAAGAGCCACCACAGACCUCCACCCCAAAACCUCCCGACACCUCUGGACACCUGUGGCUGUGUGCUUUACUGAUUCUUCCAGUCAUCCUGGGUGUGGUUGUUUAUUGUUUCUGGAGGAAGAAAUGCAGGAGGGAACGUGAGGCAUUACCUGAUGCUGAAGAAGCCAGAGAAACCCCUGCUGUCUCCAGGCACAGCAUCUGCAAAAAAAACAUGUGUAAAAUAAAUUGCACAAAUGGCAGUGACUGCAGCAGUGUCCUUUAAGGCUUGUAGAGAAGACACUGAAGAUCAGCUCGUGGACANNNNNNNNNNNAAGCAGUCUGCUCUAGACAACUCAACAUCACUGACAUAGAAACCAGUGCAGAUAUUCCAGAAAAUAACAGCAAUAGAUUGCCCCCUACAGGUCAAUCAACCCUAGCUCAGUAUAUAACAAAGACAAUCAUUUAUUUAGAUAUGAUUUCAAUCAGAUACACACAUACUCAGAGUUGGACGGAGAGUGAGAAUGUAGCCUUUGAGGCACUGAACCCUUUUAAUAUUUAUGGAGUGAGAGAAAAUGUAUUCACUCAAAAAUAAAGAUUUAAUGGAGAAAGUAAGAUUUCUCUCU
Cyprinus carpio (common carp) is the source of this 985-nucleotide long non-coding RNA. NCBI's taxonomy places the organism in Eukaryota, Metazoa, Chordata, Actinopteri, Cypriniformes, Cyprinidae. The record is from Ensembl.